GAUGAACGCUGGCGGCGUGCCUAAUACAUGCAAGUCGAGCGCACAGACGAGGAGCUUUCCCCUUUUACGUUAGCUGCGGACGGGUUAGUAACACGUGGGAAACCCUCCUACAAGACUGGGGUUACUUUUUGAAACCGGAUGCAAAUACGGAAAAUAACUUGAUGCGCAUUGACCAAUAGUUAAAGGCCGCUUUGCCGUCACCUAUAGAUGGAUCCGCGCUGCAUUAGCUAGUUGGUAGGGUAAAGGCCUACCAAGACAACGAUGCGUAGCCGACCUGAGAGACUGAUCGGCCACAUUGGGACUGAGACACGGCCCAAACUCCUACGGGAGGCAGCAGUAGGGAAUCUUCCACAAUGGGCGAAAGCCUGACGGAGCAACGCCGCGUGAGUGAUGAAGGUCUUCGGGUCGUAAAGCACUGUUGUAUGGGAAGAACAGCUAUGAAAGUAAAUGAGCACAUUUUGACGGUACCAAACCAGAAAGCGACGGCUAAAUACGUG
Molecule: ribosomal RNA, 497 nt
Filed under: uncultured bacterium
Lineage: Bacteria
Description: partial 16S ribosomal RNA
Rfam family: Bacterial small subunit ribosomal RNA
Source: RNAcentral